AUCGCUUCUCGGCCUUUUGGCUAAGAUCAAAGUGUAGUAUCUGUUCUUCCAGCGCACCUUCACGAGGANCCUGGGACACACUCAACAACCCUGU
Non-coding RNA from Parasteatoda tepidariorum (common house spider), 94 nucleotides. The record is from RefSeq and is a predicted model, not a curated record. Lineage: Eukaryota; Metazoa; Arthropoda; Arachnida; Araneae; Theridiidae.